This is a long non-coding RNA of Oncorhynchus tshawytscha (Chinook salmon), 1764 nucleotides long. NCBI's taxonomy places the organism in Eukaryota, Metazoa, Chordata, Actinopteri, Salmoniformes, Salmonidae. The record is from Ensembl.
AGGGCUUCGCCAGCUAACUUUGAAUUACACCGCUAGCUGGGAGUGUUUUGAUUGUGGGUGUAUGUUUGAAAAUUAGAGAAUGUAAAUUAGUAGGCCGCCAGCGUGUGUGUUAGUGUCGGUGUCUUUUGUGUACGUGUGCGUAUAUGUGUGUGUCCAGGAUCUUUCUCAUUCACAACUAUUUGGUUCCAAGGCUUACAGAGGGCUGGAAAGACGCCAAUUCUCUUUUAUGUUCCUCUGCUUGUGUUUUACCAUGGUAACCCAGCAUGUAUCGUAAUGCCUUUGUGUGCUUUCCUUCCCUCUUUUUUUUUUCAUUCUUCAGACUGGUGGCCCGCUGCCAUAGGCUGGGCCAUGGGCUGUGGGCCAAACCUCACUAGGCAGUGUAUUACCACUCAGGUGGGUGGUACGUGUUAUUAGCGAUGAGAUUCCUUCCUUCCCUCUCUCAAUAAAUGAGCAGAAAACGACAGGGGUAUGCAGCAAAUGUCUCAGCGUUCUGCAAGAAACCAACGUCUAGUCUCGCACAGUGAAUAUAAGGAUUUUGCAUUUUGGACAACAUCAGUAGUCCUCUUUACUGAUGUAGUGGGCCAGUACAAAUCCCCAAAUGACCCAUUAUUGCUUUUUGGUAAUACCUUUUGUAAUUUCUAUCCAAGUCUCUUGGUAUAGGGGCCAUUAAGUAAUGAAUAACUAACUAUUACAAUAUUGGAAUACGUACUGUAAAUAGUACAAUAUAACCUUUCUUCAACUGUUUGCUUUUGGCAUGUCAAAUAUCUUGUUCAAGGCACAACUGGAAUAAGUGAAUAAGCCUGUACUGUAACAGUGGUAGAGAAAUCCACAGGUGUCAUCAGUGGAGGUGUUUAUUGGUCUCCCAUCUCUCAUGAAAUAAUAAGGCCAACUGUAGUGAGCUCGAGCUGCUGGAUAGGUGGUAUGCCAUUUAUGAGGUUUGUGUGUGUGUGUGUGUGUGUGUGUGUGUGUGUGUGUGUGUGUGUGUGUGUGUGUGUGUGUGUGUGUGUGUGUGUGUGUGUGUGUGUGUGUGUGUGUGUGUGUGUGUGUGUGUGUGUGUGUGUGUGUGUGCGUGCGUGCGUGCGUGCGUGCGUGCGUGCGUGCGUGCGUGCGUGCGUCUGUGUGUGUGAGAAAGAGAGUGAGAAUGCUCCCUGGUCCCUCCGUGGUUACAGAUGAAGCCGGGUGUGAUCCGUGUGUGUGUGAGAGACAGGGAUACAGCAUUGGGUGCUGCCUAGGUCAGUUGGUGGUUAGUUAGCAAUGAGGCUGGAAAAGGGGGUGAGUCAGUAACGUGCGGUCUGCUUCAGCCCUCGCAGCAAAUUUCCCAGAUACGAUUGUGAUUCUGUUAGUCAGUGUCCUACAAUACACACACACCUGAUUGCUUGCCCCAAGCUGCAGUAAAGCACUUUUUGCUGCUCUGUAUUAGUUCCGAAAUGUCCAAUGCCACAGCUCUAAUGAGCACAUAUUCACACACACAGUAUAGGCUAUAGAAAGCGAUGAUCCCGUUAUAACCAAAAGGUUACCUGUGGUAGACAGAACAAAAGGUUACCUGUGGUAGACAGAACAAAAGGUUACCUGUGGUAGACAGAACAAAAGGUUACCUGUGGUAGACAGAACAAAAGGUUAACUGUGGUAGACAGAACAAAAGGUUACCUGUGGUAGACAGAACAAAAGGUUACCUGUGGUAGACAGAACAAAAGGUUACCUGUGGUAGACAGCACAGAAGGUUACCUGUGGUAGACAGAACAAAAGGUUACCUGUGGUAGACAG